AUACGGAGGGUCCAAGCGUUAUCCGGAAUCAUGGGGUUUAAAGGGUCCGCAGGCGGUCAAUUAAGUCAGAGGUGAAAGCCCAUCGCUCAACGAUGGAACUGCCUUUGAUACUGGUUGACUUGAGUUAUACGGAAGUAGAUAGGAUAAGUAGUGUAGCGGUGAAAUGCAUAGAUAUUACUUAGAAUACCGAUUGCGAAGGCAGUCUACUACGUAUAUACUGACGCUGAGGGACGAAAGCGUGGGGAGCGAACAGGAUUAGAUACCCUAGUAGUCC
This 274-nucleotide ribosomal RNA is filed under the name uncultured bacterium. RNAcentral's name for it is "partial 16S ribosomal RNA". It matches the Rfam family "Bacterial small subunit ribosomal RNA", at positions 523 to 796 of the family's 1533-position model. The record is from RNAcentral.